This 532-nucleotide ribosomal RNA is filed under the name uncultured archaeon. RNAcentral describes it as "bacterial SSU rRNA". It matches the Rfam family "Archaeal small subunit ribosomal RNA", at positions 934 to 1478 of the family's 1478-position model. The record is from RNAcentral.
GGACGACAGCAAUAUGUAGGCCAGGCUGAAGACCUUGCCUGAAUCGCUGAGAGGGGGGUGCAUGGCCGUCGCCAGUUCGUACUGUGAAGCAUCCUGUUAAGUCAGGCAACGAGCGAGACCCGUGCCCACUGUUACCAGCAUAUCCUCCGGGAUGAUGGGUACUCUGUGGGGACCGCUGAUGUUAAAUCAGAGGAAGGUGCGGGCUACGGUAGGUCAGUAUGCCCCGAAUUUCCCGGGCUACACGCGGGCUACAAUGAAUGGGACAAUGGGCCCCUACCCUGAAAAGGUUUGGUAAUCUCACAAACCCAUCCGUAGUUCGGAUUGAGGGCUGUAACUCGCCCUCAUGAAGCUGGAAUCCGUAGUAAUCGCGUUUCAAUAUAGCGCGGUGAAUACGUCCCUGCUCCUUGCACACACCGCCCGUCAAACCACCCGAGUGAGGUAUGGGUAAGGGCACGAACUCUGUGUCGUGUUCGAACCUGUGCUUUGCAAGGGGGGCCAAGUCGUAACAAGGUAACCAAGGGCGAAUUCCAGC